AUGAAUACAGAGUCGGCGCUGUGCUCCAACAGGAAGGCCAUCCCAUCGCAUACCUCAGCAAAGCGUUGGCCCCGUACAAAAGGGUUAUCCACCAACGGAAAAGAAUACCUGGGAAUUGUCCUGACUGUUGAGCAGUGGCAGCCGUACAUGCAGUUUGGCGAGUUUGUGAUCAAAACUGACCAGCGCAGCUUAGUGCAUUUGGAAGAACAGCGGAUCCACACCCCUUGGCAACAGAAAGCGUUUACGAUACUCUUGGGACUACAGUACCGCAUCUGCUACCGCAAAUGUUCUGAAAAUGGCGCCGCAGAUGCUCUCUCUAGGCACUCGGUAUCUUCUUCUGAACAGCUUCACGCCAUCUCUGCGUGCCAACCUGUGUGGUUACAAGAGAUCGUCAGAGGUUAUGACCAAGACACAAAGACACAAUAG
RNAcentral lists this ribosomal RNA (426 nucleotides) under Triticum aestivum (bread wheat). RNAcentral's name for it is "partial small subunit ribosomal RNA". Lineage: Eukaryota; Viridiplantae; Streptophyta; Magnoliopsida; Poales; Poaceae. The record is from RNAcentral.